Non-coding RNA from Parelaphostrongylus tenuis, 70 nucleotides. The record is from the annotation of a GenBank genome assembly. Lineage: Eukaryota; Metazoa; Nematoda; Chromadorea; Rhabditida; Metastrongylidae.
GCGUCGGGUGUAACGGUUAGCAUACGCUCCUGGUAAGAGUGAGAUCUGAGUUCGAACUCCAGCUGACGCA